This 253-nucleotide ribosomal RNA is filed under the name uncultured bacterium. Its description in RNAcentral is "partial 16S ribosomal RNA". It matches the Rfam family "Bacterial small subunit ribosomal RNA", at positions 524 to 776 of the family's 1533-position model. The record is from RNAcentral.
UACGGAGGGUGCAAGCGUUAUCCGGAUUCACUGGGUUUAAAGGGUGCGUAGGUGGGCUAGUAAGUCAGUGGUGAAAUCUCCGGGCUUAACCCGGAAACUGCCAUUGAUACUAUUAGUCUUGAAUACCAUGGAGGUGAGCGGAAUAUGUCAUGUAGCGGUGAAAUGCUUAGAUAUGACAUAGAACACCAAUUGCGAAGGCAGCUAACGAAACUAUAACUGACACUGAGGCUCGAAAGUGUGGGGAUCAAACAGG